RNAcentral lists this ribosomal RNA (254 nucleotides) under uncultured bacterium. RNAcentral's name for it is "partial 16S ribosomal RNA". It matches the Rfam family "Bacterial small subunit ribosomal RNA", at positions 524 to 776 of the family's 1533-position model. The record is from RNAcentral.
UACGUAGGGGGCAAGCGUUGUCCGGAAUCAUUGGGCGUAAAGAGCGCGUAGGCGGCCCUGUAAGUCCGCUGUGAAAGUCAAGGGCUCAACCCUUGAAUGCCGGUGGAUACUGCAGGGCUAGAGUCCGGAAGAGGCGAGUGGAAUUCCUGGUGUAGCGGUGAAAUGCGCAGAUAUCAGGAGGAACACCGAUGGCGAAGGCAGCUCGCUGGGACGGUGACUGACGCUGAGGCGCGAAAGCGUGGGGAGCGAACAGG